This 76-nucleotide transfer RNA is filed under the name Pseudomonadota bacterium. RNAcentral describes it as "Proteobacteria bacterium tRNA-Phe". It matches the Rfam family "tRNA". Rfam says of the family: Transfer RNA (tRNA) molecules are approximately 80 nucleotides in length. Their secondary structure includes four short double-helical elements and three loops (D, anti-codon, and T loops). RNAcentral also lists the same sequence under 6 other names. Lineage: Bacteria; Pseudomonadati; Pseudomonadota. The record is from RNAcentral.
GCCCAGGUAGCUCAGUUGGUAGAGCAGCGGAUUGAAAAUCCGCGUGUCGCUGGUUCAAUUCCGGCCCUGGGCACCA